CUGGCCCCUGCUCCUGGGAUCAAUCCCUCUGCCUGCUCAGCCUCUCCAGCAGCCUGAACCUGAGCCCACAUGUUUUCUCUUCCUCAGAUAUGUGCAGGAGCAAGCAGCAGCCCCUGGCCCCGGAGCUGGUUUCCCGGAGGGCUCAGGGACUGGCCGCACGAUGGGCAGGCUGCAGACAGAGGGGCUGGCCAUGGGGAUAUGGCUCAGAGCACCCAAAAUGCCUGGGAUCAGAGGGAGUCAGGCAGCGAGGAUCCAUGGUGUCUUUUACAAUAUGUUCUGCUCCAGCCAGUGAAUUUUCUUCAACUGGCCAGGUAAGCAAAAUGGUUAUUUAUGCUUAUUAAUGUGCUUAUUUAUAUGUCAUAUUUUUAUUUUUUUUUUAGAAAAAUAUUUUCCAGACAUUUGACAACUAAUU
This 412-nucleotide long non-coding RNA is filed under the name Cyanistes caeruleus (blue tit). RNAcentral describes it as "lncRNA (ENSCCEG00000018060.1)". Lineage: Eukaryota; Metazoa; Chordata; Aves; Passeriformes; Paridae. The record is from RNAcentral.